GUGAGUCAUCGAAUCUUUGAACGCACAUUGCACUCUCUGGUAUUCCGGAGAGUAUGCUUGUUUGAGUAUCAGUAAACACCUCAAGUCUCUUCUCUAUUAGAGAAGAGAAUUGGACUUGAGCAAUCCCAACUCUUUGCAAAAAGAGGCGGGUUGCUUGAAAUGCAGGUGCAGCUGGACAUUCUUCUGAGCUAAAAGCAUAUUUAUUUAGUCCCGUCAAACGGAUUAUUACUUUUGCUCUAGCUAAUAUAAAGGUCGAAUGUACUAUACGCUGACUGAUGCAGGAUUACCAAGUUUUACCUA
This 300-nucleotide unclassified non-coding RNA is filed under the name uncultured Mortierella. Its description in RNAcentral is "sequence contains 5.8S rRNA gene, ITS2". The stretch from base 1 to 71 matches the Rfam family "5.8S ribosomal RNA", at positions 84 to 154 of the family's 154-position model. The record is from RNAcentral. Lineage: Eukaryota; Fungi; Mortierellomycota; Mortierellomycetes; Mortierellales; Mortierellaceae.